UACGGGGGGAGCAAGCGUUGUUCGGAUUUACUGGGCGUAAAGGGCGCGUAGGCGGCCACCGCAAGUCAGUUGUGAAAUCUCUGGGCUUAACCCAGAAAGGUCAACUGAUACUGCGGGGCUAGAGUGCAGAAGGGGCAACUGGAAUUCUCGGUGUAGCGGUGAAAUGCGUAGAUAUCGAGAGGAACACCUGCGGCGAAGGCGGGUUGCUGGGCUGACACUGACGCUGAGGCGCGAAAGCUAGGGGAGCGAACGGGAUUAGAAACCCUCGUAGUCC
This 274-nucleotide ribosomal RNA is filed under the name uncultured bacterium. Its description in RNAcentral is "partial 16S ribosomal RNA". It matches the Rfam family "Bacterial small subunit ribosomal RNA", at positions 524 to 796 of the family's 1533-position model. The record is from RNAcentral.